RNAcentral lists this ribosomal RNA (388 nucleotides) under uncultured bacterium. RNAcentral describes it as "bacterial SSU rRNA". It matches the Rfam family "Bacterial small subunit ribosomal RNA", at positions 28 to 407 of the family's 1533-position model. The record is from RNAcentral.
GAUGAACGCUAGCUACAGGCUUAACACAUGCAAGUUGAGGGGCAGCAUGGUCUUAGCUUGCUAAGGCCGAUGGCGACCGGCGCACGGGUGAGUAACACGUAUCCAACCUGCCGUCUACUCUUGGACAGCCUUCUGAAAGGAAGAUUAAUACAAGAUGGCAUCAUGAGUCCGCAUGUUCACAUGAUUAAAGGUAUUCCGGUAGACGAUGGGGAUGCGUUCCAUUAGAUAGUAGGCGGGGUAACGGCCCACCUAGUCUUCGAUGGAUAGGGGUUCUGAGAGGAAGGUCCCCCACAUUGGAACUGAGACACGGUCCAAACUCCUACGGGAGGCAGCAGUGAGGAAUAUUGGUCAAUGGGCGAGAGCCUGAACCAGCCAAGUAGCGUGAAGG